This 48-nucleotide non-coding RNA is filed under the name Schistosoma mattheei. The record is from RNAcentral. Lineage: Eukaryota; Metazoa; Platyhelminthes; Trematoda; Strigeidida; Schistosomatidae.
AUCCGACUGAUGAGUCCCAAAUGGGACGAGACGCGCGUCGCACUGGAU